This 497-nucleotide ribosomal RNA is filed under the name uncultured bacterium. RNAcentral's name for it is "partial 16S ribosomal RNA". It matches the Rfam family "Bacterial small subunit ribosomal RNA", at positions 28 to 507 of the family's 1533-position model. The record is from RNAcentral.
GAUGAACGCUGGCGGCGUGCCUAAUACAUGCAAGUCGAGCGAACGGACGAGAAGCUUGCUUUUCUGAUGUUAGCGGCGGACGGGUGAGUAACACGUGGAUAACCUACCUAUAAGACUGGGAUAACUUCGGGAAACCGGAGCUAAUACCGGAUAAUAUUUUGAACCGCAUGGUUCAAAAGUGAAAGACGGUCUUGCUGUCACUUAUAGAUGGAUCCGCGCUGCAUUAGCUAGUUGGUAAGGUAACGGCUUACCAAGGCAACGAUGCAUAGCCGACCUGAGAGGGUGAUCGGCCACACUGGAACUGAGACAUGGUCCAGACUCCUACGGGAGGCAGCAGUAGGGAAUCUUCCGCAAUGGGCGAAAGCCUGACGGAGCAACGCCGCGUGAGUGAUGAAGGUCUUCGGAUCGUAAAACUCUGUUAUUAGGGAAGAACAUAUGUGUAAGUAACUGUGCACAUCUUGACGGUACCUAAUCAGAAAGCCACGGCUAACUACGUG